AUGCUCAACCUUAUUCUCCACCGCCCACCUUUUGACCUGAAACCUCAAACUCCCCCAAAUAAAUUCUUACCCGCCCACCUAACCCCCCCUCGGUCCUGUUCGGUCCUGUCCCGUAAACCUAACCUCACCUUCUCCCCCUGAACUCACCUCUUCCCCUCCCUCCGACCCACCAAACUCUCCCCCCCUCCCCCUCCUGCCCCGCCAGCUGUAACCCCGAGCUUACCUUUAAACGCGGUUAGCCCCGCCCCUCUCGACCCCUGAACACACCUCAGCUCGCCCAGUGUGGCCCCCUCUCCCGUUUGAACUCGCCCAUAACGUCCCACUGAACUUCAACACUUGUGUCUUUUCUCCCACACGUCCCACAGCAGACGGCAGAAGUAGCUCCACUUGGAAUAUCUACUUAAAUGCUGGUGUUCAUUCAUAUUGAGAGAAUUCCCCAUAAAAGGCCUUUGAUCUCAUCGUCCCGUUUUUCUCCUUCCUUGUAAACAGAAACGUCGUUGGAGGGUCAGACGCUCGUUAGACAUCCGUCGGGUUUCUCUCGAAAUCCACAUUCUCACAUUCUGAGGUUAUAACAUUCACAGCUGAGAGGCCUUAUGGAUUCGUCCAAUGCUGAAGCGCGCGCACACGCACACACACACACACACACACACACACACAGGGCAGCUCGUGUUUUCUGGUUGACCUUCGCCUCGCUCUUCUGUGCUCUCACCUCGUAAUUUAGCGCUUAUUUUCACAUUGCACGCACACAGGUAGAGAAACACAAACUCUCUGCAAACCACCGAUACAGACAUCCAGGGGGCCGGUCUCACCUCGACGGGUUAUCUCUCUCUUCUAGCCCCCCCCCCCACACACACACAGUGUGCGCUGACCCCGGAGCAGCUCAUUGAAGUCCCAAUAAAACACGGAGGAAUCGUCGGCACGCAACUUGACAUUCUAGUGGUUUGUUUGGAUAACCUCACACACACACACACACACACACACACACACACACGCACACACACACACUCGUUCUGCAGCACACAGUAUUUUACAUUUACGACUCUCCAGAUCCUGAGAGACCCCACUGCCUCGCUCGGCCUUCGGCGCUGCCCUCUGGUCCACCCCGCCACACACACACACAAACACACACACACGCGCACACAUACACACACACACUCUCUUUCCCAGCAAUUAUCUUCAAACUAAACACUGGCUCAGAAGCGGUAACAACAGAGCAGAGCUAUUGUGAGCACCGUACUUUUUUUGUCAGGUUGUUGCUACACUGACAUUUUUUAGGACUUUACGUCCACGGGAGACCAAUGAAUGGAAAGUGCUAAAUAUUCGCCUUCAAAUACACAAUAUCGAUUAAACGCAGGCAUACUUCGUUAUGACUUGACAAACGAUUCACUUACCUUCAGAAAUAUUCCUUUAUAAAACACAACUCUUAAUGGGACUCGGAGGCCUGUUCAGUCUCUGCACAACAAAUGUUAUGUUCUCAUAACUCUGGACGGACAUUUCGCUUUUUUUAAAUCAAAAUCUUGUGUUCGGCUUCUCCUUCGGAGUUUGGAAGUGGUUUGAAGUCGGGUUGUUGAAUAGAAGUCAAUGGCCGUAAAAUGUGCAGUCCUCCUCUUGAUGUAUAAAUCACACCGGUAACGAUAUUCCUAAAUGUUCCUCCUUAAUUGCUGUUUGCACAUGCACACGUGUGUGUUUGUGCUCUACUUUAGACAACUAAAGGCUGCACGCACUAUUUUGUUGGCCUGUGUGUGUGUGUCUGUGUGUGUACUCCUGUUCCCCCUGCUGUGUGUUCCAGGUCUGUACUUAUGAGUCUCUCCCUGAGAACUAAAUCUUCUAUAACUUUCACCUCAACAUGACCUUCGAUUUAAGUGUGUGAGUGUGUAAACGGCGUAAUCAUUACCUCACCCUGACCUGUGUGUGUGUGUGUGUGUGUGUGUGUGCGCGCUUUUUAUGUCACCUAAUCCUGACCUCGACCUCUUGACAACACUCUCUUUCACGAUAUAAAACACUGUAAUGGUGGCGUUUUUCACUUCAAAAGGCGCACACUGAGGUUUCGGGGGAAACACAUCAGUCAUUUUACGCGUUCAGGUUAUGAGAACGCAGACACCAAAAUCAUCCGCGUGCACCUCGUACAUCAUCCCGUGCACUUCAACGUGGACCAGGGCCCCUCUAAAGUCUGUCAUUUGAAGGCACCAGGAGUUUCAGGACCUCAGAUCGUGUAACGCUGAUACUUUUGGGUCAAUAAAUAUGUCGCAUAGAUUUGUAUCUGUCUUAUAGAUUUAAGGGGAGCAAAUUCAGCAGUGGUUCUGCCACAAGCGCCAAUUAAGGGGGUUGUGGUCGAUGUCAGAAGCCUGUGUAACGUCAGCACACGAGUCCAAAGGUGGGAUUCUUAUUUAGGAUCAGCUUCCACUAAAUGGCACCAUGAGAUGAGAAGGUCAGGUGAGUGGGUCGCAGGGGGGUGAGGGAGUGACCCACCCACUCGCGUUGGGGGAAUGAGUGGGUAACCGGGCGGCUAGAUGGGUGGGUAUGAGUGCAGUUGGGUAGUUGGGUAUGUGCGCGGUUGGGUAAGUGGGUGGGAUGUGAGUAGAAGAAGGUACAUAUUAUUUUAUUUCUAGGUCACUAUUUCCUAAUGUUUAACUGCUGUAUUUAGACAGAAAAUGUAACAAAGUAUAACCAGAAGUGAGACCCAACAACAGUUUCCACACAAAGGCAGUUCUUUAAAUAUGUAUUUUUGUGUUAUGAUGAAACACACUCUUCUUUUUGGAGGCCAACUCCUUUCAGCUCCGCAUAACGUGGCGAAUCCUCAUUUGUGGUUUCAUGCAGACAACGCGGCUGCCAUCGCAGAAUAAAGCCUUGACAUGAUAACGCUUCCAGCUAAAACACAGCGAAACCACGGACAUCUGUGAGGAGAGUCGCCCGUCAGUCCCUGAGAACACGUGCAGCGGCGCGCACAAAGGAGAGGACUUCACCUUCGGCCUCCCACCGCGUGAGGAAACGUCCCGCUCGCCCUCGACCGGCGCCGUGGUUAGUGUUACUGUCUCCUCUGCCGGAGUUCAGCGGCGGACGGUCCGACCGCAGACGAUUCGCAGACGCGUUCACCGCCACCUUCCCCCCCGACUGUCCUCGCCUCCUUGUUCCGCUGCUGGAAAGCACGAGGUGCCCGUUUAAGCCCCCCAAAAUCCUCUCGGCCCGGCGGGUCUUUUGCUUCUGGAAUGCGCAGCACUGAGAAUGUAUUUGAAGCGGGACGAAUUUCCCUCGAGCGGUGAAAAAGAUGUGUUUGAAGGUCGGGUUGGAGGUCGGGUUGGAGGACGGGUUGGAGGUCGGGUUGGAGGACGGGUUGGAGGACGGGUUGGAGGACGCGUGGAGUCGGUUCGGGCGUCGCUCGUCGAGGCCUCGCUGCCAGAUCUUACGGCAGGAUUAUGACGUCUCGUAAAUACUUCGACACAAAGCGGCCACGCAAUGAAAUACGCGGGCCGCCGUGUGCGAUCCAGCACGCCGUCCUCCCUGAAGGUCCAUUUCAUAUUCAUAAAUAAUGACGAAAAGUCCGACGCAAGAGAAAAUAACGUUGUCCUCGUACAGGGCCUUUAUUUCAAUAAUCCACACAUUCCGACAGGCUUCCCCUCCCGAACCACCUCUGUAAGCGUUUUAUCAUCACCACCACAUCUGGGGUGGGCAUUCGUCAAGGACAGAAACAUUGCGUCUUUACCUAAACAAGUACAACAAUUUAUAGCUUUCUAACUUUUAAAAUAGCACGCCGUGAAAGUUUUUACUGCUACUGACGUUGUAGUGAGGUUUGGACACACUCUGAUCUCAUCAAACAUGACUUCAGGGACGUUAAAUCAGCCCGUUUUAUCUCCGAGAGGAAGCCUUGACGUUUUUUACAAUGGGGAUUUACAGCUAACAAUAACUUCCUGCUGGGGACUCAAAGACUACAAAUAGAUGCAACAUUCAUAAAACGUUAUUUCUAUUGACAUUCUCAGGCAAUUAGAAGGGAUUGUAAUGAGCAACAUUUACAUGUGUGGAGGAAAAAGGCCUUUAAUGUUUAAUGGGUUUCAUCUUGAGCACAUAUAGUAUAUCAUGUGUUCAUACGUUUGGAUAAUUAACUGAUACCUAAUACAUGUUGAUGCAUAUUGCAAUGACUUUAUUUAAGAUGCUUUGUACUUUAUUUGGGAUAUUUUACUAAAUUUCUUUGGAUAUUUUAGUGAAUUUGCACAGAAUGUCACCAAAUAGCUUUUUACUGUCUUUUACUGUUUUCUUUUAGUGUAGGGUCUUACUAACAAUUUCCAGAUAUUUUUUGGGGGGCUACAUUUUCAGAGUGAUUGAAUUAGUUCCAACGAUGUCGUAAAAGUGAAUCCCGUAUAAACGUCAACCCCGCGCCGCCGUAACUGAUGUAGUGCCCCUGUGUUUAAAGACGGAGGCUCAGCCAAUCGGCUGCCUGCUUCAGAAUCACGGCCAACGUGGCGUCCAGCUGAAAUUAAAAAGAGCCGAGCCGCGGCCGCUCGCUCACUUCAACGGUUGUUGUUCCUCAAGCGGCAAAAAACAACAAACAAAAAAAAAGCAUCAUUCAUGGUUUUCAGAGGCAUCUCCGGCAAAUCCGGCCCACCUGUGUUUCCUUGACACGAGAGCUGUGUGUGUGUUUGUGUGUAAAUGCGUGUGUGUGUGCGUGAUUGGUUAUUAUGUUAUUUUGUCAACAGAACAGUUUUUAACAAGCACGUGGGCAUGAGCACCAAAUAGGUGAAUACAAAAAACAAAAAAAAGGAAUUACACUAUAAACACCAGCAGGAACGAGUGGGUCAGGGUUUAUGUGUGUGUGUGUGUGUUCCUGUGCGUGUUUGUGUGUGCUCUAUAAAGCGAUAGCGGAAUGUGCUCUCACUCUUUAAUGAGGUUCAUCAAAAACAGUCAGGCGUCAAGAAAUGAGCCUCUUCACACGCAACGAGGGACGGGGGGGACGGGGGGGAGGGCUCUAUCUCACACAUGGGAAGUAACGAACGGUCAAUAAACAGACCGCCGCGUUGGUCAGUUUAAAAACCUCAUUACACCAGCAAGGAAGAUCAGGUUUUUGGGGCCUUUUCUUGGCUCCAAAAGCAGACAUGCAGCACGAAUACAGGCGUCAAAUAGAAGGUGUGUGCAGCAUCCUCACGUCGGAUAGAGUCACGUGACCCGGUGGUGGGAAAGAGUAAUGCAGCCUCAAAGAAAAGACGCUUUGAAAAUGUGCAUUUCCAACGCGUUGGCACCGCCCGCGGAGGCCCCCGGUGAUACAAAACCAAGCGGGUGCGAAUGUUUUUGCCCAGAACGAAACCGGGAGGAACGCGCAGGGAGCCAGUGGAGGGAGAAAGUGACAAUAUGAGAGAUUUAAGGCGAGUUGGGACAAGAAAAAGAGGCUGAUUUACUGGAACAAAAAGAAGCGAUCAAGGAGAAAGAAGACGCAGUGAAGAUUUGUGAUUGAGCUUUUCUCUCCAAAUCUGAAAAAGUUCUCCGUCUUGGUUCCCCAUGAUGACGCUAAAUCUCAAAGCCCACAUUGUACCGCCUGCAUGCGGUUGUGUGUGUGUGUGUGUGUGUGUGUAUAUAAAUCAACAGCAUGUUUUCUUUCACUCUGCUCCAGUGGAAUAUUUUUUUAAUGAGUUGUUUUAUUCCCGACUCCCGACCGUCACAUGAACGCUGACGCACCGUCGGAGACAAGCGUAUGAAACGGGGGGACGGAGGACUUAUAGAGGCCGAGGGACACACACACACACACACACACACACAGAUCAACUCCUGCUUUGAUCGGCCGUAUACUUGUGUUUUAUUUUAUAAAAGUUCUCUUCUCUGUUGCACGGAUCCAAAAUGCAACAAACACACACACACACACACACAAAAUGUGCUGGCAGGGGAAAAAUGUUUGAUGUCGAAAUACAGUUUGUAAUCUGCACCAAACAUUCUCGGAAAGGACGUUUUGUACAUGUGUCUGAACAUAUACACGAGAAGAGAAAAACAACCGAAGGCGCGCCAAAACAUCCAGGUCUUCACAACAGCUUCAGAGAUACUUCACAGGUUGUGACCUCAUUCGCCUUCCUAUCAGCCCUCUUAUCUAUGUGUGUGUGUGUGUGGUGUCGUGUCAGAUAGGAUGUCUGAUCUUUUAUCGCUCUGGCUGCAGAAUCACCUGCCAGAUGAACCGGCGGGUUCAGCCUGCGAGAGCUUCGGGGCCUCGACAUCCCCGGGACGGCCGGAGGCCGCGGCGAGACAACACGAGGAUGCAGAUUAAACGUCAGCGCGAACCGCUUACGAAAAACAGUCCGGAGCGUUUGUGCGGUCCUGCUCCUGAAAUAUUUUGCCGUUAUUUCUUCUCUCAGUUUGGCGCAUUGAGGCAACGAAACUCUCUUGAACGCCGGCGGCGCUGAAUGUCAAACGUCACAGGAGAGAUUGUCUCGUUUUGUAAAGCAGAAAUGAAGAAUUCUGGGGAAUUUUAUCUCGCAAUAAUCUCUGGAAAACAAAUUUCAUUUCAAACUACAAAACUACAACAACAAUCAGACACUUCUCUGCCCCAAAGUAGCUAAAUAAAUUCACCUUUUCACCAUUUGAAUGAAUACUGGAGCCAGUGGGAAACCACAACUUCCCAGAGUCAGCCAACGAGGUCCAACAUUAAAACCUGUGAGCUUUUAGAGGGCUGCUCGGCCUAUUCUGUACAGUCGUUUUCUUCAUUUUCCCCUCUGAAUGCUAAGCUACGCUAAUGGUCUUGUGGCCCUCGCUUCGUACAGACUCGAGAGUGGCAUCAAUCUUCUCAUUAGCUCUUGGCAUGAAAGCGGACAACGUGCGUUUCCCAUGUUGAACAAUGGCUUUGACAAAAUAAAUAAAGGGUCACAUUCCGCGGAUCAAACGAUGCCUCGCUGCAGCGACGAGCUGAUUGGAUUUGCCACGAGGUCUUUUUCAGGUUGUCAAGGCACCGCAAGCAUCUUUGAGUUUGGCACCCGGGUGGAUUUACCAGAAGUUACACAGUCAUCAUGUCUGCAGAUCCACCGAGGAAACCAAACGCCUGUCGGGACCUCACCACUUCUUUGUGUCCCUCCCUGAUUCAAUCAGCUUUGUUGGAUGCAGAUUUCUCGGACUGAUACAAGUGGGCGCAAUAUUUACUUUUCUUACACAGUAAACAUCUUUCUAUUUAGUCUACCAGGUCGCUGAUGUGUUUGAGCCAAACUUUGUUAGUGUGAGGUUGGUCCUGGCUGGAGGUUUAUUUUAGGGCAACAUUUGUGUGUUUUUUCGGAUGUGGAUCAGAUCACUUUGAGGCUCUUUGACGGUAACUUUGUGUUUUGACUCGCGUCUGUGUUCACGGUCUGGUAAUUUUGUGUUUUGUAUGUUCUGCCCACAGACUGUAUAUAAGGAGGGGACAUCGGUUGGUCUUUGACGCAUCUAGUUUGACAUUGGGGUUUAGUCUUGUUUGAGCCAGAAGUUACCAUAUUUGGACAAGGUUGAGUCCAACGAGGCCCGGGAGGGCCAGAUCCUGUUAGCAGCUAAUGCUAUCGCUAGCUGGGUUAUCAAAAAGUAUCUGUAAAUUCACAUUAGCUAAACUUAGCAAUUCAAAUCUAAGUUAAGAAAAAACAGGCUUGUUUGAAGUGUGGUGUUAGAGAGUUAGAGAGCUGUCAAUCACAGUGCUUCAUGGUCUAUUAUACCCUAAUAAUUUACUAAGUGAACAUCAUGCUGCCUUGAAGACUUGGAACUAGAGAUUGAGACCAUAACCUCAUAUUUACAAUGCUUACCCAGGGAAUAAAUCAAGAGAAAAGUAGAGUCAUUUUCCCAUAGACUUCUAUGGUAAGAGAGGAGUCGCCCCUGGUGGUCACUUGAGAGAAUGCAGCUUUGAGACCCUUCAGCCCUGGCUUCACUCUUCAGACCCAGACAUGAAGCGUACGACUGAUCAGCCUCACUGUGACCUUUUGUCUUUGCUUGUUCAGACGACACAGACUCCCCCAGGAGAACAGUGGUGACUCCAAACUGUCCAGUGGGUUUUGUUCCUCUUAUUCUAUUCUUUCGCCUCCACAUUAAUCCCAUAAAUAUAUCCCAUCUCUUCAUAACUGCACAUAAAUCACUCUCCAUUUCUCCACUCUAUCGUUCUUACACAGCACCCUCCACGUGAACUCUCCGCUGGCAGGGGAUCCACUCAGGUGCCUCUCCAUGUGUGUGUGUGUGUGUGUGCGCAAAAGAAGCAUGUGUCUCGAGUGUGUUUAUGUGCUACAAUAGAGUCCUGUUUGUUUGCAGGGGGAAUCUGUGUGUGUGUGUGUGUGUGUAUGUGAGAGAGAGUCAGGUGUCGAGUUUACCCCCAGAUCGACCCAACCUGGGAAUGAUCUAGUCUCAGAGGGGGAAGCCAAAACUUCUCCACCAUGUAUGUGUGUGUGUGUGUGUGCGUCUAACCCAGAGAUGACUCACAAACCAUCUGGAGGCCAGAUGCAGGUUAGAAAACUACUCUCUCUCUACUCUGUCCCCUCCCUCCCUCCAGUUGCCAUUAGUUCCCUUAGUUAACCUGUGAACUUUGACCUGUGUGCUGUGCAUGUGUGUGAGUUCAUCCUGUGUGUGUCUGUGUGUGUCUUGUCCUGGUGUCCUGGUUAAGUCAACGACGGGGUUGUGACCUUUCUCAGCGGUUGCAAACUCUCCCUCGGUGACCCCCGGAGUUCAAGUUCACUAAUUGUCCCUCAUCCCAGUUAAACAGCCUCCAUCUUUCUCCCCCUUUGGCGGCUCCGCCUCCCUGUCACCUGGUACGUAGAUUAAGUCUGGGAAACAAGACAUUACUAAAAGGUCUUACAGGCCGGUCUCUGAGUUGUUUUCUAUUUAGUUCCAAUUGGCGUUUGUUAAAAAUGAGAUGUUUAAUUUGCCAGAAGAAAGACUCAGGACGUCCAAAAACAAGGAUUCAGAUAUCCGAAAUGAAUGCCAGGGAGUCCUCCCAGUACCUCCGGUUCACAUCUUACACGGCAUUAUGGGAGCAGCGGUUCCCCUGCGGAUGUACUCUGGGUAGUUAAAUCGAAAAGAAUGUGUCCCAUCGGUCCCCGGAGAGCAGAUGAUGACUCCGCAGACCUCAUGAGGACAACGUCUUACGCUUAACCGCAUAAGAACAAAGACGAUCCACCACAGCCCAUUCUUCUGGAGAUAAAACGGGCGUUUAUGUGCUGUCAUACGUUUCAAUACCGUCAAGACUUGAAAGUAAAUCAUCAAAAUAAUUGUGUGUGUGUUCGACUGACACCAGUAAACCAGUAAGAUGUAUCAUCAAUGUAACAAGACAACAGGAAUUCUGUCUAAUGCUCAGCCAAAUGUUCUAAAUUCGUCCCCUGAGAGGUCGAGUCUGUGCGCGGGCGGGACAACAUUGUUUUGAACACCAUCUUCGAAGUGUGAGCAUGUGGUGGACGCGUGAGGUUUGACAGGAGAUGACUGUAUCUCAGGUCCUGAUUGGACCUAAAGCUUUGGUUUUGGUAGGAGGGUGUUGAGGGGUUGCUGAAGGUCCGUUUUUAUAAGCUGUCGAGGCUCAAUCUGUGCAGGUGUGAGAAUGAAAGAAAGAGGCCAAACAAGGACUAGAUGGCAAACCGCCCUUCACUCCCACAGCAUUCCCAAAUUGGCCUCUAUAAACCCUUUGUUUUGGACACUUCCCUUCCUCAGCGCUCCACUGGAUGCUUUUAUUCUGAAGGGCCAUCAGAGGGGAAGCUAAACAGCUGGAUUGUGGAGUAGAAACAACCCCCCAAAAAGGGCCACAAACUACAUUCAGAUUCCAGCUGAGAUGAUCCCAGUUAGCUGCUGGUGGGAGGAGCUUUGCCUCUCCGCCACUGACCACGAGCCUAUCGGGUGGGAAACGAGACACAGGUUGGAUACCAGCUGAGAGAUCAGCAUAUCCAGAUGUUUUGGUAGAACAACAACCCCCAACAAUUAUUUUCCCUAGUUAUCUGAUGAACAUCUUUACUUUUACAACAUACAUUUGUCUCCUCAAAGUUUAGUGUUAUACUAAAUCACAUUAUCUGUUGUUCAAAUGUGAUUUCAUUAUAGUUUAUUAUACCACUGAAGAAUUUUAAUUUAAACCUGCUGACACACUAAAGAGGUUGUUGUAUUCCACUUGAAGUCUAGUUUUGAGGCUUUAAGCUGCAACUCAAACAGCAAAACAGUCUUUGAGAUAGAGUCCAAAUGUUUAAAGUCUAAAUCAAGUCUCUAGUCUUUGAUAAAGAGUCCAACUCAAAUGUCAAGCGUAAAGAGACAUCCCAUCAUAUGGAGGAGUGAAGGGAUUUCUUUACAAUAUCAAUAUCCAGGUUAAAUAUCCAUGGUCCUAACUGAGCAGCUGUCUUGUCAGAGGCCUCACUGGAGAACUGAUUUGGACAACAAGAGCGAAAUGUUGCAGGCGGACGUCGGCGCAAUCACAAAAAACUGCAGCACAACGUGGCCAAGAUGUCAAGAUGUCCGCCUCCAGCCACGAUGGUCCCGACCAAUCGUACGACUGUUCCUCAAUGCCGGGAUCCUCUCUCUCUCUCUCUCGCUCUCUCUCUCUCUCUGACAUUUCCAUGAACCAACUCUUGAUGUUCCUCAGAAGAACAGAGGAGAGGACGAGAGGACGGUUGAAAGACAGGGUUUGGGAAAAAGAAACAAUAGAAAUGUGCCGGGCAGAUGUCCCCCCCCCCACCCCCCUUCCCUUCUUUCCCAAUACUCCUGUUGAAACUGGGGUAAUAUCUCCGGUGUGUGCUGACACGUUUUGGGCAGUGACCAUUCAGGGGGAUUUUAACAGACAGAAACCCGAGUGGGCGCCCGCUACCGUGGGGGGGUGGAAAGACGACAGCAUGGAGUCCCGCCGGGAGAAGGACGUGUGACAGGAACCACCUUGUGAACUCAGCCUAAUUUGGGCAUUUUGUAGAACAUUUACUGCACACACGCAACAAAGAAAGGCCUCAGGAUGGAAAGGAGUUGUGUCAGAGCGUCCUGUAGGAACAAAGGAGAGUCGGGAAACAGACUGUAACUAUACGGCCGCCUGAAUGAAACACAUUCACUGAUGAUGUGUCCGAGUCAAGUUGGUGGUUUUUCCUCAGACCAAAAGUCAAAAGCUGCACGGAUCAAAUUCACAGUUAUCUAACAAAAGGGAACUUAACUGUAUUUACAGUGCGACAGUAAUGCAGCUGAAAUAACACCGGCUGGUGUCCAUCUUUUCCUUUGUGCUCUUCAGAUAGGAUUCUCCUCAUCAUGAAGGUCACACUUUGCACAACGCAGGCCUCACGCUCUUUGGCAGAAGCUCCCUGACCACCACGAAGGGGGAAAUACCAUUUCUGCUCAAAUGAAACACGAGUCCGGGCCAAGCGGCCGUCUUACUCUUUAAAAUCUCACUCCGGCUCGGUGGGGCCGAGCAGCGGAGCGACAUGAGAUUCUCAGAGAAUCGGUUCCGUUUCCCUGCGUUGGCUUCGGCUAACGAUGUUACCAAAGAAAACGUUUUGGACUUCCUGUACGGGAUCUAAUUUGGAAUAGAAAUGUAUUUUUUGUGUAUAUUCACCUGAUUUAAGGGCCUCUUUACGCAAUGCCAAGCCAGAACUCUCCUGGAUCUAGCUCCCUGUACUUCCCUAAAGUUCGCCAGCAUUUUCAGGACUUUGAACCACUUGCUCCUCAUUGUAUUACUCCAGUGUGUGAAUGAAGGACUCCGUCAUUUGUGAUAGACGCUCAGAAACAACAUAUUGAGAAAGAAAAGUUGAGCCAAACCUUUUGAUUUCCUGUUGUUGGGUACUUUCACGCUGAAAAUAUAUCAAAACGGUCUCAAAGCAGAAGCAAACGAACAUGUAGUUUCCUCCCGCUGCAUUGUGCGUCAACGUCCUACUACACUCUACGCUGUCAGAUCUGAUCCUUAAGGGACCAAAACUCCUGCCUCCCCAUUAGAAGGCGGUUUCCGCGCAAACACUGGUCCCUAAAACUUACCCGCUCUGGUUUCUGGGAUGUGCCAACGAAAUGAAAUUCUCCCUGAAACCCAAACAUUCAGUCCGCCGACUACAAAUGUGUCAAGGACGUGUUUGUUUGCAGAAAAUGUGUAAUUACACAGUUUCACAGUCCGUUUACUGUGGGACUCGAACACCUCUUCCGCCACCGAGCUCAAGAACUUUACUUCGCUCACUUUUACUUUCACGUAGGUGUUUAGAGAGGGAGCGAAUUAGAGGGAAUUAUGAAGAGGAGAAAGAAAUGGAAGACAGACAUGCAUUAGCACAUUGUUACUGCAGUGGCCAGUCAGUCUGGGAACCCGUAAUAACCCUUCAACACUAAUGACAAAACCACACACAUGCACGCGCGCACACAGUCUCGAGGUCUCUCCUCCGCCUAUGUAUCUCGUCUCUCUGUAGUCACUUCUACGUCCUCCCUCCUUCUCUAUGGCGCACACACACACACACACACACACACAAAUACAUGAGCGGUGUUGCUGUGUUGAUGGUAAUACCAGGGUUAUUGGGAGGGGAGAGAGUAAUUCCCUCUGACAGCCCCAUUAAGGGAUGAAAUACCACCACUACUAAAAAACGACUUGGGUUUCACUUGUGACGCCGCACCAGCCUACAUUCGAUUUUUCUGGGUUAUUUUGAGGGCAAUCUGGAGCGGCAAAAUGGCAUGAAAAACUAAAAUAAAAAUGAAUACGUCGGUGUUUGUCGCGUUCGGGACGCCCAAGUGUUCGCCCGCCAAUUCCUUUUGCCCGCGUAUUUCUCCGUCAGCAGGAAAUCUAUAUGGCACUGGUUGUUUUCACUCUGGCUCAAGAGUUGCUUAUAAAUCACGGAUGAAGAGUGGACCACCGGCUCCGACUCAAAAACACGGUGGACCGGAGAGUAAAUCAGGGUCAGGUGGGCUUCAAUAAGCAGCCUUAACAAUCGCCAUCCAUCAACCGGAUUUCUUUAUGAAAAUAAAAAGAGAAAUCUGAGAUGUUCCAGCUUAUAGGCUCGUCACUUUUGUUUUACACCACAAAUUAACCCAAAGUGUCUUUAUACAGGCCAGAUUUUUAAUAGUACAUGAUUGGACCUCGACCAUGUUGCUGACAUCUGUGUUAACAGAAUUUACCACUGUGGAUGUGGUGUGUGUAAACACUGCUAACCCACCAAUGACUCCAAACCAACAUAAGCAUUACCUAAAGGGAGAACAUUAGUUGGGUAUUUACAAGCAGAGGCAGAGGAACAUUGGCAUUUGCUUGAAGCUGUGUUCAAAGCUACUUGAUGAAUUUUAGUGGAACGCUCACUUUCCUUUUAGCUCUGGUUCGGUCUCCUCCAACGGAAAA
This is a long non-coding RNA of Gasterosteus aculeatus aculeatus (three-spined stickleback), 13216 nucleotides long. NCBI's taxonomy places the organism in Eukaryota, Metazoa, Chordata, Actinopteri, Perciformes, Gasterosteidae. The record is from Ensembl.